AUGGACCUAAUACUUCCAGUUAAAGUUGGAGAUGCUAUAGAGACAAGAUCCUUUGAUCGUGGUUAUAGGGGCGCAUGGUUCCGUGGCAAGCUCACCGACAUGUGUAUCAGGGACGGUCACCUGGAGUGUCAAGUGGAGUAUAUAGACUAUCCAGAUGAAAAAAGGAGAUGGAAUAGACUCUACAAAGUUCCCCCAAAAUGUCGUAAUCAGAAAGCAGGUCAAAAUAGGGAGAUCAUGUUACGACCUCCUUUUCCUCAAUGGUGUUGGGAGAAUGAUAUUCCUGAGCAUUGGCCACAGAUGGAUGUUGUAGCAGUUGUAAGCAGUCCUUGGAAAGUAGGUGACUUGAUUGACUGGUGGUACAAAGAUUGUUUCUGGACUGGCAAAAUUAUCGAGUUGCUGGGUGAAGACAAAGUUAAGAUAAUUUGUCCUGAGAAACCAAUAGGUGAAGGUGGAUGUUGGGCUGCCGAUACAAAGGACCUUAGGCCAGCGCUUGAUUGGCCCCUCUUAAAAGGUUGGACCGCCCCUCUUUCACAGGCUUUCUAA
This 543-nucleotide ribosomal RNA is filed under the name Triticum aestivum (bread wheat). RNAcentral's name for it is "partial small subunit ribosomal RNA". Lineage: Eukaryota; Viridiplantae; Streptophyta; Magnoliopsida; Poales; Poaceae. The record is from RNAcentral.